CUUUCGAUGGUAGGAUAGAGGCCUACCAUGGUGGUAACGGGUAACGGGGUGUUAGGGCACGACACCGGAGAGGGAGCCUGAGAAACGGCUACCACAUCCAAGGAUGGCAGCAGGCGCGCAAAUUACCCAAUCCCGACACGGGGAGGUAGUGACAAUAAAUAACAAUACGGGGUUCUUUCGGAUCUCGUAAUUGGAAUGAGUACAAUUUAAAUCUCUUAACGAGGAACAAUUGGAGGGCAAGUCUGGUGCCAGCAGCCGCGGUAAUUCCAGCUCCAAUAGCGUAUAUUAAAGUUGUUGCAGUUAAAAAGCUCGUAGUUGAAUUUCGGGGUCAGUAGGCUGGUCGUGUCACAGGUACGUACUGGUCUCACUGAUUCCUCCUUCCUGAUGAACCGUAAUGCCAUUAAUUUGGUGUUGCGGGGAAACUGGACUGUUACUUUGAAAAAAUUAGAGUGUUUAAAGCAGGCUAACGCUUGAAUACAUUAGCAUGGAAUAAUGAAAUAGGACGUUCGAUCCUAUUUUGUUGGUUUCUAGGAUUGACGUAAUGAUUAAUAGGGAUAGUUGGGGGCAUUAGUAUUCAAUUGUCAGAGGUGAAAUUCUUGGAUUUAUUGAAGACUAACUACUGCGAAAGCAUUUGCCAAGGAUGUUUUCAUUAAUCAAGAACGAAAGUUAGGGGAUCGAAGACGAUCAGAUACCGUCGUAGUCUUAACCAUAAACUAUGCCGACUAGGGAUCGGAUGAUGUUAAUUUUUUAAUGACUCAUUCGGCGCCUUACGGGAAACCAAAGUGUUUGGGUUC
Molecule: ribosomal RNA, 794 nt
Filed under: uncultured Rhizophagus
Lineage: Eukaryota; Fungi; Glomeromycota; Glomeromycetes; Glomerales; Glomeraceae
Description: SSU rRNA
Rfam family: Eukaryotic small subunit ribosomal RNA
Source: RNAcentral